AUGGCCAGGCUUGCUUCCUCCUUCCUGCUGCUGAUUGUCCCUGCAUAUGUCCUGUCUCAGGUUACCCUGAGGGAGUCUGGCCCUGGGCUGUUGCAGCCCUCCCAGACCCUCAGUCUGACCUGCUCUUUCUCUGGGUUUUCACUGAGCACUUCUGGUAUGGGUGUGGGCUGGAUCCGUCAGCCCUCAGGGAAGGGUCUGGAGUGGCUGGCACGUAUUGAUUGGGAUGAUGAUAAGUACUACAACCCAUCCCUGAAGAGCAGGCUCACAAUCUCCAAGGACACCUCCAAAAACCAGGUAUUCCUCAAGAUCACCAGUGUGGACACUGCAGAUACUGCCACAUACUACUGUGCUCGGAGAGCACAGAGACACAGCCUCGGUUGUCAGCUGUACAAUAUUUCAGUGCAGCUGGUUGAGUCUGGUGGAGGAUUGGUGCAGCCUAAGGCGUCAUUGAAACUCUCCUGUGCUGCCUCUGGAUUCACCUUCAGUGACUAUGCCUUGUUCUGGUUCCGCCAGGGUCCAGGGAAGAGUCUGGAAUGGGUUGCUGCCAUAGGCUUUAAAAGUAAUAAUUAUGUAAUCUUCUAUGCUGAUUCAGUGAAAGACAGAUUCACCAUCUCCAGAGAUGAUUCCCAAAGCAUGGCCUACCUGCAAAUGAACAAUCUUAAAACUGAAGACACAGCCACAUAUUACUGUGCCAGUGAGACACAGUGA
Molecule: non-coding RNA, 708 nt
Organism: Peromyscus leucopus (white-footed mouse)
Lineage: Eukaryota; Metazoa; Chordata; Mammalia; Rodentia; Cricetidae
Source: the annotation of a RefSeq genome assembly